Molecule: long non-coding RNA, 1044 nt
Filed under: Marmota monax (woodchuck)
Lineage: Eukaryota; Metazoa; Chordata; Mammalia; Rodentia; Sciuridae
Source: RNAcentral
GCAAUAGAAUCUCUCAAUAUGGCUGAAUGAGGCUGCCUAAAGCCCUAGAAGGAGGAAGUGGAUAAGUGCCUUAUCCAAAAAGAUGGCAGCCUCAGGUCUUAUCAGAGGACAGCAGCUUCCUUACUCCCCCUACCUCUGGCUAAGUCACAAAGUGCCACAGCAGAGUAACCAGAUGGAUGGGGGAGAAGGGGUAGCUGUAGAAUUAUGAGCUAGAAUAUAGUUUUACAGGCCUAUUAGUUCACAGUUACACUAUCCCAAUCAGUUGCUUUAUACUAAUGUGUUGUUAUGAGAGGUGGGGUGAAUAUUCAAAGAGACAUAGUGGGGAGGCUGAAACUACAGGAGUUGAUAUGCUGCUGCCCACAGGAAAAGGGAGGAGUCAUGGCUUCCCACCAUAAGCUCCUACCCCCCAGGAUGGCCUCAUCCCCUUCCUAGUAAUCCUAAAGAUUAUAUGAUCCAGGAGCUAUAGCCCUUUUGCUCUGCCUGCUGCUCAGCACAUUACUUUGGGUUCUAGUUUGAUAAGAAGACUUCCUGUGGUGGAAAUUGAAAGAAAGAGGAAAGAGCUGCCCAUUUCUGCUCAGGAGGUUGUGGGAGAAGGAUGGCCAGAGCUUUGUGUUCACUACAUGCCUUCUGGCUUCUGGAGUGGGCACUACUGCUCUUGGGACCUAGUGCUGUCCCAACAGCCUUGGCCUUGAACUUGGACCCUGUGGGACUCACUUUCUAUACAGGCCCCAAUAACAGCCACUUCGGAUUUUCACUGGACUUUCACAAGGACAACCAUGGAAGGUGAGCCUUGGGGGGAGUUGGGUAGUGGUGAGAAAGGACCCCCCCCCCCGCAUACAUACACACACUUACACUGCUUCUGUGGGCUUCUAGUUCCCCAUUUGUGACAGUAGUUGAGGAUUCUGGAGUUUAUUUGGGUUGAGCUCUUGUCAGGAAUGCUGGGGAGAUACUGGUUCAGGUGAGGAUGUCAGGGAGGAGUACCAAUGGAGAGAUGGGCACUGAAACUACAGCAAGAAGACAAAAGAGGGCUGGGGAUGUGGCUCA